This 432-nucleotide ribosomal RNA is filed under the name uncultured bacterium. Its description in RNAcentral is "partial 16S ribosomal RNA". It matches the Rfam family "Bacterial small subunit ribosomal RNA", at positions 29 to 507 of the family's 1533-position model. The record is from RNAcentral.
ACGAACGCUGGCGGCAUGCCUCACACCUGUAAGUCGAACGAGACCUUCGGGUCUAGUGGCGCACGGGUGCGUAACGCGUGGGAACCUGCCCUUAGGUUCGGAAUAACUCCCCGAAAGGGGUGCUAAUACCGGAUAAUGUCCUCGGACCAAAGAUUUAUCGCCUUUGGAUGGGCCCGCGUUGGAUUAGCUAGUUGGUAGGGUAAAAGCCUACCAAGGCGACGAUCCAUAGCUGGUCUGAGAGGAUGAUCAGCCACACUGGGACUGAGACACGGCCCAGACCCCUACGGGAGGCAGCAGUGGGGAAUAUUGGACAAUGGGCGAAAGCCUGAUCCAGCAAUGCCGCGUGAGUGAUGAAGGCCUUAGGGUUGUAAAGCUCUUUUACCCGGGAUGAUAAUGACAGUACCGGGAGAAUAAGCUCCGGCUAACUCCGUG